UGAUGAUAAGGUAUAUUUUAUUGUUGUCACGAUUCUUAUACAUGUUUCAUCUCUCAAACAUACACAUAUAUAUAUGGUCAUCAAAGAGAGAUAACAAGUUCACAGCCAAUGAAACAAAUCCAACCUAUAUAUAUAUAUAAUAAGGCAUGGGUUAAGUUAAAGACCUCUUUCUAGCAUUUUCUCGUAAUUCUCGAUGGAUUCAAGCCUCUGGAUCAAAAGUUGCUUCCUGAAAUUCUUGAUGAAUGCUUCUGCACUUUCAUUUAUGUCCAUGGAUGGCUUGCUCUCUAGCUUUUGUGCUGGUUUAUUAUUCUCUGUAACCGGAGGCCUCACCACAGCUCUAUCUUCCUUAUUGAAACUGGGCGCUUCUUCUUUUGCUUCAAAAGGCGUGGAGUUGUGGUAUUGAGAAAGAAAGGAGCUAUUAUUCUUCAUCAUUGCUUCUUCUCUUUCUCUUAAUCUUCUUGAUUCUUGAAAGCUAGCCUGAUCUCUGUAUAGUUUCUUGAUGAUA
This 505-nucleotide unclassified non-coding RNA is filed under the name Hevea brasiliensis (rubber tree). Lineage: Eukaryota; Viridiplantae; Streptophyta; Magnoliopsida; Malpighiales; Euphorbiaceae. The record is from RNAcentral.